Molecule: long non-coding RNA, 529 nt
Organism: Aplysia californica (California sea hare)
Lineage: Eukaryota; Metazoa; Mollusca; Gastropoda; Aplysiida; Aplysiidae
Exons: 2
Source: RefSeq, a predicted model, not a curated record
AGAAUUUCGCUUGUGUCUCGAUCGCGAGAAACAAGGACGACGAGAGACAUGCUAGCUACUGUGACCGAGAGCCUGGUGUGUCAGAAUCAGAUGUCCCGAGUGUGUCGUCAGACACGACGAUAUUCCUCCGCCCUUCUCCUCUCCCUCCUCCUCCUCCUCCUCCUCCUCCUCCUCCUCCUACUUGACUCGAGGAAGAAAAAGAAGAAGAAGAAGAAAAUGAUGAUGAAGACAGCCUUGAGUGAUGACGACUCGACAAGCGGUGACGUUGAUGCAGUGACCACUGACCCUGAGUGAUGACCGGUCCAUCCACACAACUCCCAUGUGAGACCGAGCAGAAUUUGUCUCUGGAGCGAAAUGUCCCCCACAAAUUUCAGUUGAGAAAGAUGCCAGUACAGACGUCUUGCCAGUUGUCUCCUAUUAUGUCACAACAACAAAAUGUCACCACACCAGAACGAGAUGUCACAACAGGGAGAUGUCACCAAAGAUGUUCCCAAGACGAGAUUCGACCACAGUUCAACCACCAACUCCC